GCCUUAGUAGCUUAGCACCGACCAAAAGCAUUGGCCUUGUAAACCAAAGACGGGCCUAACGCCCCUAAGACA
Molecule: transfer RNA, 72 nt
Filed under: Cyrtopodion scabrum
Lineage: Eukaryota; Metazoa; Chordata; Lepidosauria; Squamata; Gekkonidae
Description: tRNA-Thr
Rfam family: tRNA
About the family: Transfer RNA (tRNA) molecules are approximately 80 nucleotides in length. Their secondary structure includes four short double-helical elements and three loops (D, anti-codon, and T loops). Further hydrogen bonds mediate the characteristic L-shaped molecular structure. tRNAs have two regions of fundamental functional importance: the anti-codon, which is responsible for specific mRNA codon recognition, and the 3' end, to which the tRNAs corresponding amino acid is attached (by aminoacyl-tRNA synthetases). tRNAs cope with the degeneracy of the genetic code in two manners: having more than one tRNA (with a specific anti-codon) for a particular amino acid; and 'wobble' base-pairing, i.e. permitting non-standard base-pairing at the 3rd anti-codon position.
Source: RNAcentral